This 428-nucleotide ribosomal RNA is filed under the name uncultured bacterium. Its description in RNAcentral is "partial 16S ribosomal RNA". It matches the Rfam family "Bacterial small subunit ribosomal RNA", at positions 354 to 796 of the family's 1533-position model. The record is from RNAcentral.
GUGGGGAAUAUUGGGCAAUGGACGAAAGUCUGACCCAGCGACGCCGCGUGAGGGAAGAAGAUCUUCGGAUUGUAAACCUUAGUUAUCGGGGACGAAGCAGGUGACGGUACCCGAAGAGAAAGCCACGGCUAACUACGUGCCAGCAGCCGCGGUAAUACGUAGGUGGCAAGCGUUGUCCGGAAUUACUGGGUGUAAAGGGCGUGUAGGCGGAACUACAAGUCAGGGGUGAAAACUAUGGGCUUAACCCAUAGCCUGCCUUUGAAACUGUAGUCCUUGAGUGCUGGAGAGGCAAUUGGAAUUCCUAGUGUAGCGGUGAAAUGCGUAGAUAUGCGGAGGAACACCGAUGGCGAAGGCAAUCCCCUGGGCCUGCACUGACGCUCAUGCACGAAAGCGUGGGGAGCAAACAGGAUUAGAUACCCUUGUAGUCC